Molecule: transfer RNA, 90 nt
Filed under: Dreissena polymorpha
Lineage: Eukaryota; Metazoa; Mollusca; Bivalvia; Myida; Dreissenidae
Description: tRNA-Phe
Rfam family: tRNA
About the family: Transfer RNA (tRNA) molecules are approximately 80 nucleotides in length. Their secondary structure includes four short double-helical elements and three loops (D, anti-codon, and T loops).
Source: RNAcentral
GCCGGAAUUGCUCAGUUGGGAGAGCGUUAGACUGAAGUUGUUUACGCAUCAAUCAUCUAAAGUCCCCCGUUUCAAUCCCGGGUUCCGGCG